GCAGAGUCGGACAGAUUUUAGAAAAUCGCUAGGGUACCAUCCUGCAGAAGAUGGUGUUUGGGCAGAGUCGGACAGAUUUUAGAAAAGCGCUAGAGUACCAUCCUGCAGAAGACGACGAACAAAUUAGCACUGCUACAUUUUACUAGAAUAUGAUAGAGGAGUUAUACUGUUAUUCUCCCCUUUGCUUUUUCGCUGAAGCUCGUUUACAGACAACACUUCCCCUGGAACUGGAUCACGAUCACGAAAGAUAAAACCCGAAGGAUAAGAUUUUCAACAGAACCAAGAGCGGUACCCAAAUCAACGAUGUGGUUUGCAAGGGAAGAAGUGGUCAAAUAUCCUGUUCAAACUAAACAGAAUUCUCGUCAGAUCCGGUAAAUUUAUAAUGAUUUGAUAAAAUUAUCGAUGCAAAUGACAAUCUUUUAGAUUACAAAAUCAGUCAAGCAAUCUUAACCAUAUUGUUGCAGAUUUUGAACUAUACCGCCGCAACCACAUAUGUUUGUUUGUUUGUUUAUAGAACCCGUCCCCAAUCUCGUAUCGGAAAAUGACUAAACUCAGGUCUGAGUGUGAAUACGGGUGGUACCUGCAAGAGUGU
Long non-coding RNA from Bolinopsis microptera, 592 nucleotides. RefSeq lists it as uncharacterized. The transcript has 3 exons. NCBI's taxonomy places the organism in Eukaryota, Metazoa, Ctenophora, Tentaculata, Lobata, Bolinopsidae. The record is from RefSeq and is a predicted model, not a curated record.